GGUGAGUAACACGUAAGUAACCUACCUUUAAGACGAGGAUAACAAUCGGAAACGGUUGCUAAGACUGGAUAGGAAACAGAAAGGCAUCUUUUUGUUUUUAAAAGACCUUCUUCGGAGGGUAUGCUUAAAGAGGGGCUUGCGCCACAUUAGUUAGUUGGUGAGGUAAAGGCUUACCAAGAUUAUGAUGUGUAGCUGGACUGAGAGGUUGAACAGCCACAUUGGGACUGAGACACGGCCCAAACUCCUACGGGAGGCAGCAGUAGGGAAUUUUCGGCAAUGGAGGAAACUCUGACCGAGCGACGCCGCGUGAACGAUGAAGUAUUUCGGUAUGUAAAGUUCUUUUAUUGAAGAAGAAAAAAUAGUGGAAAAACUAUCUUGACGUUAUUCAAUGAAUAAGCCCCGGCUAACUAUGUGCCAGCAGCCGCGGUAAGACAUAGGGGGCGAGCGUUAUCCGGAAUUAUUGGGCGUAAAGGGUGCGUAGGCGGUUAGAUAAGUCUAUAAUUUAAUUUCAGUGCUUAACGCUGUCUUGUUAUAGAAACUGUCUUGACUAGAGUGAGAUAGAGGCAAGCGGAAUUCCAUGUGUAGCGGUAAAAUGUGUAAAUAUAUGGAGGAACACCAGAAGCGUAGGCGGCUUGCUGGGUCUUUACUGACGGUGAGGCACGAAAGCGUGGGGAGCAAACAGGAUUAGAUACCCUGGUAGUCCACGCUGUAAACGAUGAGUACUAAGUGUCGGGGUAACUCGGUACUGAAGUUAACACAUUAAGUACUCCGCCUGAGUAGUACGUACGCAAGUAUGAAACUUAAAGGAAUUGACGGGACUCCGCACAAGCGGUGGAUCAUGUUGUUUAAUUCGAAGAUACACGAAAAACCUUACCAGGUCUUGACAUACUCUGCAAAGCUAUAGAAAUAUAGUGGAGGUUAUCAGGGAUACAGGUGGUGCAUGGUUGUCGUCAGUUCGUGUCGUGAGAUGUUAGGUUAAGUCCUAAAACGAACGCAACCCCUGUCGCUAGUUGCCAGCACGUAAUGGUGGGGACUUUAGCGAGACUGCCAAUUAAACAUUGGAGGAAGGUGGGGAUAACGUCAAAUCAUCAUGCCCCUUAUGAUCUGGGCUACAAACGUGAUACAAUGGCUAUUACAAAGAGUAGCUGAAACGCGAGUUUUUAGCCAAUCUCAAAAAGGUAGUCUCAGUACGGAUUGAAGUCUGCAACUCGACUUCAUGAAGCUGGAAUCGCUAGUAAUCGCGAAUCAGCAUGUCGCGGUGAAUACGUUCUCGGGGUUUGUACACACCGCCCGUCAAACCACGAAAGUUAGCAAUACCCGAAAGCAGUGGCUUAACUUCGCAAGAAGAGGGAGCUGUCUAAGGUAGGGUUGAUGAUUGGGGUUAAGUCGUAACAAGGUAUCCUUACCGGAAGGUGAGGAUGGAUCACCUCCUUUCUAA
Molecule: ribosomal RNA, 1438 nt
Filed under: Alder yellows phytoplasma
Lineage: Bacteria; Bacillati; Mycoplasmatota; Mollicutes; Acholeplasmatales; Acholeplasmataceae
Description: bacterial SSU rRNA
Rfam family: Bacterial small subunit ribosomal RNA
Source: RNAcentral